AACGAACGCUGGCGGCAUGCCUAAUACAUGCAAGUCGAACGAACACUUCGGUGUUAGUGGCGCACGGGUGCGUAACGCGUGGGAAUCUACCCUUGGGUUCGGAAUAACGUCUGGAAACGGACGCUAAUACCGGAUGAUGACGUAAGUCCCAAGAUUUAUCGCCCAGGGAUGAGCCCGCGUAGGAUUAGCUAGUUGGUGAGGUAAAGGCUAACCAAUGCUCCGAUCCUUAGCUGCUCUGAGAGGAUGAUCAGCCACACUGGGACUGAGACACGGCCAAGACUCCUACGGGAGGCAGCAGUAGGGAAUAUUGGACAAUGGGCGAAAGCCUGAUCCAGCAAUGCCGCGUGAGCGAUGAAGGCCUUAGGGUUGUAAAGCUCUUUUACCCGGGAUGAUAGUGACAGUACCGGGAGAAUAAGCCCCGGCUAACUCCGUGCCAGCCGCCGCGGUAA
This 449-nucleotide ribosomal RNA is filed under the name uncultured bacterium. RNAcentral describes it as "partial 16S ribosomal RNA". It matches the Rfam family "Bacterial small subunit ribosomal RNA", at positions 29 to 523 of the family's 1533-position model. The record is from RNAcentral.